This 517-nucleotide ribosomal RNA is filed under the name uncultured Entrophospora. Its description in RNAcentral is "SSU rRNA". It matches the Rfam family "Eukaryotic small subunit ribosomal RNA", at positions 569 to 1083 of the family's 1831-position model. Lineage: Eukaryota; Fungi; Glomeromycota; Glomeromycetes; Entrophosporales; Entrophosporaceae. The record is from RNAcentral.
AGCAGCCGCGGUAAUUCCAGCUCCAAUAGCGUAUAUUAAAGUUGUUGCAGUUAAAAAGCUCGUAGUUGAAUUUCGGGAUUGACGUGACGGUCGUGCCUUAAGGGGUAUGAACUGUCGCAGUUGAUUUCUCACCUUCUGGAGAAGCUUGAUGUCCCUAAUUGGGUGUCAUGUGGAACCAGGACCUUUACCUUGAAAAAAUUAGAGUGUUUAAAGCAGGCAUUUUGCUCGAAUACAUUAGCAUGGAAUAAUAGAAUAGGACGGCAUGGUUCUAUUUUGUUGGUUUCUAGGAUCACCGUAAUGAUUAAUAGGGAUAGUUGGGGGCAUUAGUAUUCAAUUGUCAGAGGUGAAAUUCUUGGAUUUAUUGAAGACUAACUACUGCGAAAGCAUUUGCCAAGGAUGUUUUCAUUAAUCAAGAACGAAAGUUAGGGGAUCGAAGACGAUCAGAUACCGUCGUAGUCUUAACCAUAAACUAUGCCGACUAGGAAUCAGACGAUGUAAUUUUUAAUGACUCGUUUGG